This 372-nucleotide ribosomal RNA is filed under the name uncultured bacterium. RNAcentral's name for it is "bacterial SSU rRNA". It matches the Rfam family "Bacterial small subunit ribosomal RNA", at positions 434 to 793 of the family's 1533-position model. The record is from RNAcentral.
CAGUCGUGAGGAAGGUAGUGUAGUUAAUAGCUGCAUUAUUGUACGUUAGCGACAGAAGAAGCACCGGCUAACUCCGUGCCAGCAGCCGCGGUAAUACGGAGGGGUGCGAGCGUUAAUCGGAAUUACUGGGCGUAAAGCGCAUGCAGGUGGUUUGGUUUAUGUCAGAUGUGAAAGACCCGGGGCGUCAACCUCGGAAUUGCAUUUGAAACUAGGCAGACUAGAGUACUGUAGAGGGGGGGUAGGAAUUUCAGGUGUAGCGGUGAAAUGCGUAGAGAUCUGAAGGAAUACCGGUGGCGAAGGCGGCCCCCUGGACAGAUACUGACACUCAGAUGCGAAAGCGUGGGGAGCAAACAGGAUUAGAUACCCUGGUAG